Molecule: long non-coding RNA, 1156 nt
Filed under: Homo sapiens (human)
Lineage: Eukaryota; Metazoa; Chordata; Mammalia; Primates; Hominidae
Description: HSALNT0024330
Source: RNAcentral
AUGGCAUCAUCUUUGAGAAGGUAUGAAGAGGACUAGAGACACCUUCUCUGUAGCCUGCUUUUUGCUUGCACUGAAUGCAGUUGAAAAUUCAGAAUUUUUUACUUUCAGCCUAUAAUGGCAAAGAGGAAAAAAAGUAUAGGAAGAUGUUUCACAACUGUUAGAUGAAUUCGAAGGAGAAAGCCAAAAGAUAGCCGGUCUCUAGAUACCAAUGACGAUGAUGAAAUUGACCGUGUAAGUGAAAUCUCAGACUGUACAUCUACAGAUGGCAAUAUCCUCGACACAUUUCUGAGACUCAAAAUUUGAUGGAUAAAUGAUAUAUUUCCAUAGACCUAAAGGGAAUAUGGUGUUCUCAUCCAGUUAGCCAUUCCACCAGAAGGACUUUAUUAUGCAAUAUUCUGUCAACAGGACCUGGACUAUGUCAUUUGCUAAAAAGAUGCCUGGCAGUGUUUUUUCAACUUUUAUGAUGUUUGUACACUGAGAUUUACUUGGGUUUUGUGUUUGUUUGUUUGUUUGUUUGUUUGCUUGCUUGCUUGCUUGUAUGCUUUUGUGUUAGAGACAGAGUCUCACUCUGUCACCCAGGCUGGAGUACAGUGGUGCAAUCAUGGCUCACUGAGACCUCAAACUCCUGGGCCCAAGAGAUCUUCCUGCCUCAUCCUCCUUUGUAGCUGGAACUUACAGGCAUGAGCCAUCACACUCAGCUAAUUUCUUUCUUUUUUUUUUGGGUAGAGACAGGGUCUCUCUAUAGUGCCUGGGCUGGUCUCGAACUCCUGGCCUCAAGUGAUCCUCCCACCUCAGCCUCCCAAUGUGCUAUGACUACAGGCAUGAGCCAGUGCACCCAGCCUGAAAUUUCCUUGAUAUGUUUUGUUAAAUGAACAGAUGUUGAAGGCAAGUGUGUAUACAAAGGUCACUGGAAGGAAAUAAAAAACUUAGUGGCUUGAUCGUCUUAAACGGUGUUUACAAAUCUAAAAACGAAAAUGCUCUGCAAUUAUGAAGCAAAGAAGAUGGUCAUCCUCUCUUUAACAAAACUGUUUUUGAAGGCUUCAAAUUUGUUUUAUGUAUUUUGACAAUGCAAGUGCAAGAAGAGGCAGAAGCAAUGGACUUCUCUAAACCUUUAACAUACAAGAUGUCCAAAAUUGGUUUGAACAUGGAAUCUUUG